AAAUCCCAAAUCAACGUCCCAGCAAAACAACAUCAUCGUCGCUCUCUCCCUCUCCCAUGGCCGAUCGAAACCCCUAAAGCCUCCGCCGCAUCGGGGCUUAUCGCCGGCGGCGACAAAGUCCUCACCCUACUCGCGCUCACCCUACUAUCACCGUCUCGACCUCUUUAUUCCUAAUCCCUGGCCAGAUUCCUAAUUCCUCCCUAAACAAGACAAACCUAAACAGCUUUCUAUGCAAACGUAAUAAAAUCAGAGCGAAAACGAUGAAGAUGUGCUCACCUACGGAUACGCCGCUCUACCGAAAUCGAUGGGCGAGAAGUACCAAGUUUUAGAUCGGAGGCUUCGAAUCCGAUAACGAGAGGAUUCACGCUCGCAUCGUCCGCUCCUCUUCUUUACCCUCGGUAAUGUUACAGGAAUGAAGUGACUUUGAUGGAAUGGAAAAGUGGCUGCUCCAAGCUUCAAGACAACAUGUUUUCGCGCCUAGGUCCAAAGGAGGGUUUAACCAGUCCAUUGAUUUUGGUCUUGGUCAUUAGAAUUAGGAACCUGUUUUGCAGCAAAUUCCACUUAGUCAAAAUGUAAUUAUUUUGUUUAGUUUUUUUUUAAGACAAAAUGUGUAUUUGGACUUAUCUGUAACUUAUUGGAUUAAAUCUAAUAGCCAUUGUAACUUGUUAGACUUGGAAAGAAUUGAAUUAUUAAAGUGUA
Molecule: long non-coding RNA, 699 nt
Organism: Lathyrus oleraceus (garden pea)
Lineage: Eukaryota; Viridiplantae; Streptophyta; Magnoliopsida; Fabales; Fabaceae
Exons: 2
Source: RefSeq, a predicted model, not a curated record